This 30900-nucleotide long non-coding RNA is filed under the name Triticum aestivum (bread wheat). RNAcentral's name for it is "long non-coding RNA (TAES_LNC001723)". The stretch from base 9437 to 9497 matches the Rfam family "tRNA", at positions 6 to 65 of the family's 71-position model. The record is from RNAcentral. Lineage: Eukaryota; Viridiplantae; Streptophyta; Magnoliopsida; Poales; Poaceae.
CUAAACAUCUUUUGGAGAUAUAAAGAUAGAGAGAGAUACCAGCGCGCGGAAGAACAUGGUGGAGAAUUCUUCUGAAUACGUAACAGAUUGAUCGAUUUUUAUUUUUCACCCCUCGGAGCGGGGAUUUUUGCAUUUGUUGAUACAUGGAAUGGAAUGUACAGUGGUGUGUAUGACGGCUCAAGGAUGUACAGAACUAGCUUGUAAAACGGUCUGAAAGGCUCUCAGCUGGUGUGGUUGCUGGUAUGAGCUACAGACUUCUCUUAUCUCUACUACUAUCGUAUUGUACACACCAAGAGUAUAAAUCAAAGAAAAAGAAAAAAAAUGUUUCGUGGGUGGUUGUCACCUGUCAGUUUGUGUUUCUGGCGUCUGAAUCUGAAAUUUUCAGCCUAGAAUAGAGUGAUGUACUCCCUCCGGUCCAUUUUAGUUGCAUAUAAGUUUUGUUUGAAGUCAAAGCAUCUCUACUUUGACCGAAUUUAUAAAAAAAAGUAUUAACAUUUACGAUGCCAAAUCAAUUUUGUUAGAUUCAUUACGAAAUGUAGUUUCAUGGGAUAUAUAUUUGGUAUGGUUGAUAUUGAUAUUUUUUAAUAUAUAUUUAGUCAAACUUUACAAAGUUUGACUUGACCCAAAUCUAAUAUGCGGAGUAAAAAGGACCGGAGGGAGUAUCAGGUAAAGGAAGAAUUCUUGUCAUGUGUGACUUUGAUCAUUGUUUGUGACCAAUAAGGAUAGCUAUCCUUCUGGUGUUAAAAUGAUUCUGUGAUUGUUUCAGAGAUAAAAUGAUUACUACCUCCGUCUGGGUUACUAGUGACUUUCGUAUUUUGUGCUAAACUUUGACCUUAGUUGGUUUAUUAGUCCUUUUUGUAUUUUGUGCUAAACUUUGACUUUAGAUUUGAUUAACAAAAUAUAAGUUAUAUGCUACAAAAUUACAUUGGUAGAUUCUUAUUUGAAAGAAGUUUACAAUGAUAUAAUUUUUGUUGCAUAUAAAUCAUAUUGUGCUAGUUAAAUCUAUGUUAAAAUUUGACCCAAAAUGCGAGAGAACUAACAAACCCGGAUGAAGAUAGUACUUUUUUUAGAAUCGAUGAAGGUAGUACUUGAAAGAAAGGUGUUUAUCUGUCACAAGUCUUUCAGGAUUCAGAAAUAAAAUGUUUGUUUUCAAAGAAACGAUUUUUUAUCUACAAAAUAGAUAGGAUUCAUUUUCCACUAGACUGUUUGGAUUCAGAAUAAAUGAGGAAUUCGAUAUUUUUUUGUCACUAGUCUCUUUUGGAAUUAUCUCCACUAGCUCUAUCUUACCUUCUUCUCAGCGCGUUCGCCUCCGCAUUGCCUGCCAACUCCACCUCCAUGGCGCUAGCCGGCGCCGCCAACGCCACCUUCCGGCCCCGCCUGGUCACCGCCGCCGCUGACACCUCCGACACUAAUACUCGCCGCCGACACUGGAAGGCCGGCGAGUUCCCAUUCCCCACCACCUCCCCCUCCUCCGGCACGCAGCAGCGCCGGAGACCCCGGACCACGGAGCGCCCGCCCCCACCUCCACCGUCCAAGGGGGAAGACCCGGAGGGGAGAGGGCGCCAGAGGCACUGGAAGGCGGGGGAGGACCCGGAGGGGGGAGGGCGCCAGAGGCACUGGAGGGCGGGGGAGUUCCCGGCGGCGGCCGAGUCCCAAUCCCAGUCCGGGAGGAGGGGCCGCGCUCGCACCCCUAUCAAGAACGUCCAGAAGAGGCUCGACGCGCGCGCCGAUGCCAAGGCCUGGGCCUGCACAGUCACCGAGGCCCUCGCCGACCGCAUCGCCGCCAAGAACUGGCGGGAGGCGCUUCAGGUAACAGUCACCAACCAGCUAUACCAAUCAAAAUUUCCUUAUAAAUUUGUAAUUUCCCUUUUACUUUGCGUCGCACCAUUUUAGGAAUUACCAACUGAUUUGAUUUCCGAAAAAUGAAUAAAUAUGUGUAGGUCUUCGAGAUGCUCAAGGAGCAAACUUUCUACUAUCCCAAAGAGGGCACCUACAUGAAACUCCUCCUGUUGCUGGGGAGAUCAGGCCAGCCUUCUCUAGCACAAGACCUUUUCACCGAGAUGCAGCAGCAAGGAUGCCAGCCAACUCCCGAGCUUUACACGGCCUUGAUCGGGGCCUACUGCCGGAACGGCCUCCUAGACGAGGCACUCAAGCUUCUCGAAGACAUGAAGGCCGCCCCGCUGUGCCAGCCUGAUGUCUACACUUAUAGCAUCCUCAUCAAGGCCUUCGUCGACGCCUCAAGGUUCGACCUCGUCGAUGCUAUGUACAAAGAGAUGGCUGAGCGCUCCGUGACACCCAACACGGUCACGCAGAACAUUGUUCUCAGUGGCUACUGCAGAGCAGGAAGGCUGGACGAUAUGGAGAAGCUACUCUCUGCGAUGCUCGAAAGUGCAAAUUGUAAACCGGAUGUCUGGACCAUGAACAUUAUCCUAAGCCUGUUUGGGAACAGUGGCCAGGUUGAGCUGAUGGAGAAGUGGUACGAGAAAUUCCGAGGCUAUGGGAUCGAGCCAGAGACUCGGACGUUCAACAUUCUCAUUGGUGCUUACGGGAAGAAGCGGAUGUAUGACAAGAUGUCUGCGGUGAUGGAAUACAUGCGCAGGCUAGCAUUUCCAUGGACGACUGCUACAUACAACAAUGUGAUCGAGGCAUUUGCUGUGGCAGGUGAUGCCAAAAACAUGGAGGACACAUUUAACCAGAUGCGCUCAGAGGGGAUGAAGCCAGAUACAAAGACCUUCUGUUGUCUAAUAAACGGGUUCAGCAAUGCAGCCCUUUUCCACAAGGUGGUAGGCAUGGUAAAGCUUGCUGAGAGGCUCGAUGUACCGGCGAAUACGUCUUUCCACAACUCUGUUCUUGCGGCAUGUGCGAAAGCGGAGGAUCUGAUGGAAAUGGAGAGGGUCUUCAGGCACAUGAAGCAUAUGCAGUGUGAAGCAGAUGCCAUCACAUACUCCAUCUUGUUGGAAGCUUAUCGGAAGGAAGGAAUGACCGACAAGAUGUAUGCUCUGCAACAGGAGAACCCAAGUUUGGUUUCGACUGAGCUUGUCAUGGUGUAACUAACCUCAUAAAUUGAUUAUGGUGUUGAGUUCAUCUGACUGAAAUGAAAAAUCCGUUCCUCUUCAUGUCUGGAAUUAAUAGUGCAACCUAGCAAAUUAACUACUGCCAGAAUUGUUUUAUUUCUGUUGACCUACAAGAUUAGUAUGUAUGAUAACUGUAUUGCUGUAAGGACAGAGAAGCUUCAUUAUAUCAACUCUCAAGUGAUAUGCCACUAUUUAGUACCUCCUUUGUUCCAAAUAAGUGACGUGCUUUAGUUCAAAUUGUUUGAACUAAAUCAUGACAGUUAUUAUGGAAUGGAGGGAGUAUACAUUUUGAUCCUAGCAGUCAUAGUCAUUUUGUUUUGGAAUGUGUCUGUAAGCUGAUUCAGACAAAGGUUUGUGUGGAGUGAAUAUCCUUCUAGCUUGUCAGGUGAAGUUGAGAUUAUAUCAGGUUCAUUUUCAUGUUAACGGUAACUGCUAAAAUAACAAAUGGUCAUUUCAUUUGGCGCAGUAGACCUGUUUUUAUUGCUAGGUGAAUGAUAUGUGCUUUUGAUUGACUACUAACCAUGGUUUCUAUAAUAGCAUGUACUAUGUCAGGAGAGUUGAGGCACUCAUCUCGUGGGUCUGCAGUCUGUUCAGAAAUAAUUUUUAGUACUACUUGGUUUGAGAAGGUACUGACGAUAAACCCCUUUCUCUUCCACCCCUAAUUCAUCUGAAGUACUCUGUUUCUUGUUUUCCCAUCCCAUGAUUGAAUCAAUGGUUCAGGAACUAGAAAAAUAUGAUCCCGUAUUCUUGCAGCGAAGCCCAUCUGGAACUGGAAUAUGGGGUUAAAAAGCACUGUAUGUUCGUACCAUUUCUAAGUGUAACAUGCCUUCUUGUCUUCUAUAAGUAUAGAUUUGGUGUUCUAAAUCAGCGACAAUUAAUAUGGAUCGGAGGGAGUAGCAUACAAUCCUGGAAUACAUUCUGGAAUUUCCAUUCGGUUGCUAUAACAUGCUUUGUGUUUUCUCAGCAUUUUUUUUGCUAUACUGUUUUAGUGAAGACAAGUAUAAGCUGGGACCCACUAUUGAUAAAUACUCCCGAUGUAGCCUGAAGACAUACGUGCGACGAUGGCUGCUACAAAUAUCACUUGGCAAGGCACAGUAAAUCUUUGUCCAUUUACCUACUUUGGAAUAAGCAAAUAAAGAGCCAAUGAUAAAAGGGGAGAGUGAGAGAACAGAAGCCACCAUUGUUAUGGUUGGCAGUAAAUUUUGGCUUGGAGCCACAUGAUACAUACGUGGGUAACUGGGCAUGCUACUCUGUCUUAACCAGUCUGAGAAUUUCUAAAGUAUUCUUUUGAGUAUCCAGGUGUUUGUAGCCAGUAUGCGCAAAAUCUAUUUCUAGCUGCAUUCUCAACUGAUGUGGGUAACAUGCGUCAAUACAUGUUUCCAGAUUGUAGUCGGCCCUAGUUCUUGGCACCCCCAGAAGCUUUGCUUGGAGAACGAAAUGUUGAGAGCACACCGUAAAUGUUUGCAAGUAUGGUAGGAAAGCUGUAAAUAGAACAGAAGCUAACUUACAGGAAGAAUUCGGCCUUUGGGUUACCAUAUCAUACUUAUCAGUAUUCUUUUUUUUUUUGACAACUCAUCUUGUUCCAUGCAUUUAAGUGUUUCUUAUGGCUACAGGAAUUUGAACGUCUCAGGUGGGUGGUUAAUCCAAAGAAGCCGACCAGCUGUCUCAUACAGGUAGCUAAGGAAUGGGCUUCACCAUUGGUGGUCCUUCGCUCAAAAUUUAUCUCGGCACUCUCAAAAUUAUGCAUCUUCUCUGAUAUUUCACGUGCUAUGUGUGUAAAUCACCAUCAUUCCUUACUACAGGCUACACGCUAUAACCACUCAAGCUCGAUGAUCAACUCAUAGAGACAAGGAUUAUCAACUUAUAUUAUAUGCCCAACACCAUGCUCCUUGUACACUUGGAUUAUGAACAAGAGAUGCAACUUUCUUUAGAGGUUUCUUGACAUCAAUCUUGACUCUUAACCCUGAAGAAGUUGCCCUCAAAAUCUUGGGAAACACACCCGCCAAAAAAAAUCUUGGGAAACAGCGCUGCAAAAACAAAUUCUCCCACUUUCCCUACAAAGGAUUUCAGCAAUUUGUGUGUACCCAUGUGGAAGAUCAUGUAUUUGAAUCCAUAUCAACAGAUCUAACUUCAUCCAAUAGGGUUUGGUGAAGCCAUCAUAAGGUGCAAGAAUAACAGUGUUUCCCAAAAAGUCCAGGGGUCCUCUUCAAUGACUCUCCCAAUCACCCAGACACGAAAACUGAGUCGUAUACAAAUUAUCAGACAGCGGGCAAGGCUUCACAUCCUGCACAAGAUCCUAGGCUACCCGCAUGUUCUUGUAGGACCAAGGUUGGCUAUAGGGUUUAGCCGUGGGAACCCUGUAACGCCCCGGACACACCCAUCGGUGGUCGUUAUUCAUGGCGGGAUCUAGACUGGCCCCACAAAUCAAUACUAGUCCUUUCUGCACACUUUGUGCUCACUUGUGCGCACCCAGGAGCAACUUUUCGGUCGGUCACCUAUCUUGAAACUACUCCAAGCUGAGAACGCUUAACUUUAAAGUUCUGUCCGAAUGGGUUUCCGGAAAAGAAGAAAUUCCUUAUUGAUAUGAGUAGUCUAUCAUCCCUAUUAAGGUAGACUAUCACAUACACCCCCACUCAACGGGUCACAAACAUCAUGAACAACAUGACCGCACACCUAUCCGCAAACAUCCGUGUAACCGUGAGGGUCGGCUCUGAUACCAACUUGUAACGCCCCGGACACAGCCAUCGGUGGUUGUUACUCUUGGCGGUAUCUAGACUGGCCUCACAAAUCAAUACUAGUCUUUUCUGCACACUUUGUCCUCACUCGUGCGCGCCCAGGAGCAACUUUCCGGUCGGUUACCCAUCCUAAAACUACUUCAAGCUAAGCACGCUUAACUUUGGAGUUCUGUCCGAAUGGUCUUCCGAAAAAGAAGGAAUUCCUUAUUGAUAUGAGUAGUCUAUCAUCCCUAUUAAGCCAGACUAUCACAAACCCCGACGAUGGCCAUCCAACAUGUUGUAGCCACCGGCAGUGCUUCCUCCUGCUCUACAACAACAUCUUGAUUCUCCUCCGUCAAAUGAGUUCUUUCAUCAUUGCUUCGACGUCACUCAAGACUUCUCCCGAUCCAAACGCUUCCUUCUCCAUUGGUUAUCCUAGCCCGAAGAUCAAUCUACCGGGCCAUGGGGAACCCGAGUAAGCUAGACAAGACCAGGAAACGACACUAGGUCGUCCCUUAAUCAGUUUGAACUAGUCCUGCAGGAGAUGGCGAAAGGUUGGGAGGAAACUCGACGUUGGCUGGAAUCGGUACCAUGAAGAACAGAAACCCUAACUCGAGGGGAAUGACAACGAAAAAGGUGGCGCACUGCAUGCAUACACUUUUUUUGAGGCGGCAUCGCUAAGCUUUAUUAAUCGACUGAAAUGUUUACAGGAAUAGACACGGUGUUGAAGCGAAUUCCAAUCCACACAUGGCGUCCCAAACUCAAAGAACUCGUGAACUAGCUAUGUAUUGAGCUUCAUAGUUAUUAUUACGCCGCUUAUGGCUAAAAAGACAUUCUGAAAAGGAUCAGACCACUGCCCGAUCUCCUUCGUGAUGGCUGCAUGAAAUCACAUACCCCCAUUCUUGAUAUCGUCAAUUAUAACUUUGCAAUCCGAGGUAAUGUGAAUCUUCUGUUGUGCGAAAUCUUUUGCUAAGCAAAGGCCUUCUUGACAUGCAAUUGCUUCAGCCGAGUUGGGUCAGACGUGCCUCUAUACACCAUGGCUGAAGCAUCCAAGUAGGUGUCGUCCAUACAACGUUCAAGGGAUUGUGAAUUUUCUUAGCAACUUUAAUUUCUUCAAUAUAGUUAUUGAUGAACAAUGGGUUGAUCAUGGGCUUUGCAAUACAUCCUCAUGUAUUGCCUUCCUCCUUGCUGACCAAAUAGCCACUACUGAAAAAAUAUUUAGGUGGGCUCAAAUUAGAGCCAGGGGAGGAUAGGUACCUGUCACUGAGCAGUUGCCAUUGAGAAUGUAGUGGGUGACUUAGCACAAGCAGCGCGCAACAGGUCCUUUGCAGAUGUAAAUACCUGGAUUUCUGAGAAGUGAGCUUGGGACCGCUUUCUUGCGAGUACUGGGCAAGCCGGUCAGAUAAGAUGGAACCCUAUCCAUCAAGUAGCAAUGGGGGUAAAAAGUGUCGCCAGCCACUCCUGUGUGGAUAGCAGUGGCGGGCAAACAUAACCACCCGCCACUCGUAAUUUUUUACAAAUUUACCUGUGGGAUCAUAAAACCAGCAGUGGCGAGUGACAAACUCAAGCCCGCCACUAGUUUGCCAUGCACCACUGGCGAGCCAAAAAUUUGUUGCCACAUCAAUAUUUCGAUGACAUGCGUCAAUUUCUCCCAAAAUUUCUAGAAAGUAAGCAGUGAUGGGUACACUAAAGCGUCCGUCACAUAUAUAGUAAGUCAGGAAAAUACUUGAAAGGUCAUAUUUACUAAAAUCAGAUUAGUCUAAAAUUAGUGGUGUGUAUUAAAUAUAUAAUUUUUUUUAAGUUGAAAUGUGUAAAAAAAUAGAGUUCCGUGUGGUAGGCGGCACUUUCCUUUCAAAACCCUGACACUUCCCUGGAGAGUGUUCGGCUUGUAUUUGAAGUGCAUCAAAUUUUACCUUAACGCUAUCAAAUUUUUACCAAACUCUAAAGUGAUCCUAUGAAGACAACAUGCCAAGUUUCAUCUAUUUCCGAACUCUUUUGCACGUUAUUUGAAACCGAAGAGCAUUUUGCCCUUUUUAAUGGCUGAAAAAUCAGUUAAUGCUUUUAAAAUAGCAAACCAACUAAAAAGUAUCUAAAUUUGAGCAUGGGACUUCCAAUGGUGUGUACUCCCUCCUUCCCAAAAUAUAAGGCGUCAGUUGAUUUUUUUUGGUCUUUAUUGCACAAUUUUGACUAUAAUUUUCAUGUAUUAUAUGAUAAAAAAUUAGUAUACAUACAUAUGAAAUAAAAUUAUUUUGCAAGUCAAAUACGACAAUGCCAUUCAUAUAUGUCAAUCCAUGGAUUUUAAUAUAUAUUAGUGGUAAAACUCGUGCGUCAAAUAUCGUGCAAAGUCAAUCACACCUUAUAUUUUGGGAAAGAGGGAGUAUUAAACAUAGAAAAAAUGAAGUUAAAAUGAUGAAAAAAAGAGUUGUUCGUGGAAGUUGGUGGUAUUCGUUCGAAACCUGAUACUUUGCCAGAGAGUGUUCAAUUUGUAUCCAAUUUUCCCUGUAACGCCCUCAAAUUUCUAUCGCCCUACAGGUGUCCUAUGAAGACACCAUGUCAAGUUUCAUCCAUUUCUGAGCUUAUUUGCAUGUUAUUUGACAUCAGAGAGCGUUUUGCCCUUUUAAUGGCUAGAAAACCAGUUAAUGCUUUAAAAGCAGCAUACCAACCCAAAAGUGUCCACUUUUGAGAACGAGACUUCCAAUGGUGUGUAGUAGACAUAGAAAAAGUUUGAAGAUGAAAUGAUGUAAAAAAAGUUUUCUGUGGAAGGCGGUGGUAUUCGUUCUAAACCCUCAUACCUCACCGAAGAGUGUUCGGUUUGUUCACAAAGUGAUUCUGGUUUUCCAUGUAACGCCCUGAAAUUUUUACCACGCCCUACAUGGGUCCUAUGAAGACACCAUGCCAAGUUUAAUCCAUCUCCGAGCUCGUUUGCACAUUAUUUGAAACCGAAGAGUGUUUUGCCCCUUUUAAUGGCCGGAAAACUAGUUAAUGCUUUAAAAAUAACAUACUAAAUAAAAAAGCAGCCAAAUUUGAGCAUGGGACUUCCAAUGGUGUGUAUUAAACAUAUAAAAGUUUGAAGUUGAAAUGAUGUAAAAAAAGGAGUUUGCCUAUGUCGGUUUCCCUCGGAAGCUUAUGGACUUCACAUUAUCGCUGAUUUUUCACUGGAUUGGUUUGAGGCCGAUAAUAUUGUUUUUCAUGAAAAGUUCAAAAAAGUAGAAAACAACUGGCAUUGGGCGCUGAAUUAAUACGUUAGUCCAGAAAAUAAGUAUAAAUUGGUGCCGGAACUGCACCAAAAUGAUAUAAAUAUAGCAUGAAACAAUAAAAAAUUAUAGAUGCAUUUGAGAAGUAUCAAGUACCUAAAUCAGUGAAUGAUAGAUCAACAUGAUAAUAUGAGUACCCCAAAAUUUCUACUCCCUCCGAUCCAUAUUAAUUGUCGUAACUUUAGUUCAACUUUCUUCUAAAGUUGUAUUAAAGUUGAGGAUAAUUAACAUGGAUCUAAUUGUAUUUUUUCUAGAAUGGAUUUCUUAUGGGAAUACUAAUGGAUGAGCCACUACGAAUAAAUUAUGGGAGUUACGAAAGAAGCUUCAAACUCAUAUUGUUCAUGGGUUUAGAGCGGGAGUUGAACUUAGGAGGUCGAAUCCUCCCUUGUUCCUCAGUAGCUCAGUGGUAGAGCGGUCGGUUGUUAACUGACUGGUCGUAGGUUCGAAUCCUACUUUGGUUGGAGUUCGAAAAAGGAUAAAAAUAAAGUAAAUUCAAGGAAGAGCUUUCUUUGGAGGAAGUAUUUUUAUUUCGUUGUUCCAGAACACACCAAUACCACCACUUCUAGGAGCUUGCAUCUGCAUAACUACUAUCAAAACCAAUAACUAGCCAUACUUUCUACUCUCACUUUGCUUAACUAAGUUUCAAUAUACAAAGGAUAGUAGUGGUGGACUGUUGCAUUAAAGUGCAAAGCUCUCGAACCAUCGCUCGCCGCCAAUCCCACGAGAAUUCCAGCAAAGAACAAUCAUUACUGCUGGCUCGAUCCCGGAGCCCACCAAUUUAUCAUCAAAAUUCUUAGAUUUAUAGGGUGAAGUACCCUUCUUAAGUUUCUUUCUACCCCGUGGUCUCACAUAUUCAAGAGGAGGAGGUGGAGCUGGUAGCCCAUUCUUGUUCUACCCAACAUGCCAGUUGCAUCUCCAUGCAAAUUGUUCUCACAGGUGUCCCAUGGAUCCUCAGUUUCUUGCUCAAUUGCAUGCACUGGCCCUGUGCCAAAGUCUAGUUUCUUAGCUUUACUGCUUUGGGCUUUAUCCUCUCCCUCUUGAGAUGAAGCAUUCUUUAGAGGACUCCAUGAAGUGACAUCUAGAUCAUCAGCGCCAUUAGGAUGCAGGCCUGCUUUCCCAAAGGGCCACUUGUGUGGGUUGUUACCUUCACUUCCGUUUUGGCCACUGAUAACCCACAAGUAUAGGGGAUCGCAACCGUUUUCGAGGGUAGAGUAUUCAACCCAAAUUUAUUGAUUCGACACAAGGGGAGCCAAAGAAUAUUCUCAAGCAUUAACAGUUGAGUUGUCAAUUCAACCGCACCUGAAAGACUUAAUAUCUGUAGCAAAGUAUUUAGUAGCAAAGUAAUAUGGAAGUAACGGUAACGGUGGCAAAACUAAUAAUAGUAGUUUUUGUAGUGAUUAUAACAGUGGCAACGGAAAAGUAACUAAGCAAAGAUCAAUAUGUGAAAAGCUCGUAGGCAAUGGAUCAGUGAUGGAUAAUUAUGUCAGAUGUGAUUCCUCAUGCAACAGUUAUAACAUAGGGUGACACAGAACUAGCUCCAGUUCAUCAAUGUAAUGUAGGCAUGUAUUUCGAAUAUAGUCAUACGUGCUUAUGGAAAAGAACUUGCAUGACAUCUUUUGUCCUACCCUCCCGUGGCAGCGGGGUCCUAUCGGAAACUAAGGGAUAUUAAGGCCUACUUUUAAUAGAGUACCAGAACAAAGCAUUAACACUUAGUGAAUACAUGGACUCCUCAAACUAUAGUCAUCACCGGGAGUGGUCCCGAUUAUUGUCACUUCAGGGUUACCGAAUCAUAACACAUAGUAGGUGACUAUUGACUUGCAAAAUAGGAUCAAGAACUCACAUAUAUUAAUGAAAACAUAAUAGGUUCAGAUCUGAAAUCAUGGCACUCGGGCCCUAGUGACAAGCAUUAAGCAUAGAAAAGUCAUAGCAACAUCAAUCUCGGAACAUAAUGGAUACUAGGGAUCAAACCCUAACAAAACUAACUCGAUUACAUGAUAAAUCUCAUCCAACCCAUCACCGUCCAGCAAGCCUACGAUGGAAUUACUCAAGCACGGAGGUGAGCAUCAUGAAAGUGAUGGAGGAAGGUUGAUGAUCACGAUGGCGACGGAUUCCCCUCUCCGGAGCCCCAAACAGACUCAGAUCAGCCCUCCCGAGAGAGAUUAGGGCUUGAGAGCGGCUCCGUAUCGUAAAACGCGAUGAAUCCUUCUCCUUUAUUUUUUUCUCCCCGAACAUGAAUAUAUAGAGUUGGAGUUGAGUUCGGUGGAGCCUCAGGGGGGCCCACGAGAUAGGAGGGCGCGCCCCCACCCUCGUGGACAGGGUGUGGGCCCCCUGGUGUGAAGGAAAUAUGCCCUAGAGGCAAUAAUAAAGUUGUUAUUUAUAUUUCCUUAUAUCAUGAUAAAUGUUUAUUAUUCAUGCUAGAAUUGUAUUAACCGGAAACUUAGUACAUGUGUGAAUACAUAGACAAACAGAGUGUCACUAGUUUGCCUCUACUUGACUAGCUCGUUGAAUCAAUGAUGGUUAUGUUUCCUAACCAUAGACAUGAGUUGUCACUUGAUUAACAGGAUCACAUCAUUAGAGAAUGAUUUGAUUGAAUUGACCCAUCCGUUAGCUUAACACGAUGAUCGUUUAGUUUGUUGCUAUUGCUUUCUCCAUAACUUAUACAUGUUCCUAUGACUAUGAGAUCAUGCAACUCCCGAAUACCGGAGGAACACUUAGUGUGCUAUCAAAUGUCACAACGUAACUGGGUGACUAUAAAGAUGCUCUACAGGUGUCUCCAAUGGUGUUUGUUGAGUUGGCAUAGAUCGAGAUUAGGAUUUGUCACUCCGAGUAUCGGAGAGGUAUCUCUAGGCCCUCUCAGUAAUGCACAUCACUAUAAGCCUUGCAAGCAAUGUGACUAAUGAGUUAGUUGCGGGAUGAUGCAUUACAGAACGAGUAAAGAGACUUGCCGGUAACGAGAUUGAACUAGGUAUUGAGAUACCGACGAUCGAAUCUCGAGCAAGUAACAUAUCGAUGACAAAGGGAACACCGUAUAUCGUUAUGUAGUUUGACCGAUAAAGAUCUUCGUAGAAUAUGUGGGAGCCAAUAUGAACAUCCAGGUUCCGCUAUUGGUUAUUGACCGGAGAUGUGUCUCGGUCAUGUCUACAUAGUUCUUGAACCCGUAGGGUCCGCACGGUUAAUGUUCGGUGACGAUCGGUAUUAUGAGUUUAUGUGUUUUGAUGUACCGAAGGUAGUUCGGAGUCCCGGAUAUGAUAAUGGACAUGACGAGGAGUCUUGAAAUGGUUGGGACAUAAAGAUUGAUAUAUUGGACGGCUAUAUUCGGACACCGGAAGUGUUUCGGGUGAUUUCGGAGAAAACCAGAGUGCUGGAGGGUUACCGNNNNNNNNNNNNNNNNNNNNNNNNNNNNNNNNNNNNNNNNNNNNNNNNNNNNNNNNNNNNNNNNNNNNNNNNNNNNNNNNNNNNNNNNNNNNNNNNNNNNNNNNNNNNNNNNNNNNNNNNNNNNNNNNNNNNNNNNNNNNNNNNNNNNNNNNNNNNNNNNNNNNNNNNNNNNNNNNNNNNNNNNNNNNNNNNNNNNNNNNNNNNNNNNNNNNNNNNNNNNNNNNNNNNNNNNNNNNNNNNNNNNNNNNNNNNNNNNNNNNNNNNNNNNNNNNNNNNNNNGUUGGGCCUUCAUGGGCCACAGGGAAGAGGGGAGGUAGCCCACAAGGGGCAUCCGCGCCCCCUCCCUAUAGGGAGUCCGAAUUGGACUAGGGAGGGGGGCGCCCCCCCCUUUCCGUCUCCUCUUCCUCUCCCUUCCUUCCUUCCCCUUCUCCUCCUAGUAGGACUAGGAAAGGAGGUGUCCUACUCCAACUAGGAGGAGGAUUCCUCCUCCCUUGGCGCACCACUAGGGCCGGCCGUCCUCCUCCCUUGCUCCUUUAUAUACCGGGGCAGGGGGCAUCCUAGGACACACAAGUUGAUUGUUUCCAGCCGUGUGUGGUGCCCCCCCUCAACCAUAAUCCACCUCGGUCAUAUCAUAGCAGUGCUUAGGCGAAGCCCUAUUCCGGUAGCAUCAUCAUCACCGUCAUCACGCCGUCGUGCUGACGAAGCUCUCCCCCGACACUCUACUGGAUCGUGAGUUCGUGGGACGUCACCGAGCCGAAUGUGUGCAGAUCGCGGAGGUGCCGUACUUUCGGUACUAGGAUCGGUCAAUAAUGAAGACGUACGACUACGUGAACUGCGUUGUCAUAACGCUUCCGCUUAUGGUCUACGUGGGUACGUAGACAACACUCUCCCCUCUCGUUGCUAUGCAUCACCAUGAUCUUGCGUGCGCGUAGGAAUUUUUUUGAAAUUACUGAGUUCCCCAACAGUGGCAUCCGAGCCAGGUUUAUGCGUAGAUGUUAUAUGCACGAGUAGAACACAAAGAAGUUGUGGGCGUGGGUAUAUACAUAUUGCUUGCCGUCACUAGUUGAUUCUUGAUUCGGCGGUAUUGUUGGAUGAAGCGGCCCAGACCGACAUUACGCGUAUGCUUACGCGAGACUGGUUCUACCGACGUGCUUCGCACGCAGGUGGCUGAUGGGUGUCAGUUUCUCCAACUUUAGUUGAAUCAGAUUCAAUGAACAGGGUUCUUUCUGAAGAUAAAAAAGCAAUCACUAUACUGCGUUGUGGUUUUUGAUGCGUAGGUAAGAACGGUUCUUGCUCAGCCCGUAGCAGCCAUGUAAAACUUGCAACAACAAAGUAGAGGACGCCUAACUUGUUUUUGCAGGGCAUGUUGUGAUGUGAUAUGUUCAAGACAUGAUGCUAAAUUUUAUUGUAUGAGAAGAUCAUGUUUUGUAACACAGUUAUCAGCAACUGGCAGGAGCCAUAUGGUUGUCACUUUAUUGUAUGAAAUGCAAUUGCCAUGUAAUUGCUUUACUUUAUCACUAAGUGGUAGCGAUAGUCGUAGAAGCAAUAGUUGGCGAGGUGACAACGGUGCUUUGAUGGAGAUCAAGGUGUCAAGCCGGUGACGAUGGUGAUCAUGACGGUGCUUUGGAGAUGGAGAUCAAAGGCACAAGAUGAUGAUGGCCAUAUCAUAUCACUUAUAUUGAUUGCAUGUGAUGUUUAUCCUUUAUGCAUCUUAUUUUGCUUAGUUCGGCAGUAGCAUUAUAAGAUGAUCUCUCCCUAAAUUUCAAGGUAUAAGUGUUCUCCCUAAGUAUGCACCGUUGCUACAGUUCAUCGUGCCGAGACACCACAUGAUGAUCAGGUGUGAUAAGCUCUACGUUCACAUACAACGGGUCCAAGCCAGUUUUGCACACGCAGAAUACUCGGGUUAAACUUGACGAGCCUAGAUUAUGCAGAUAUAGCCUCGGAACACUGAGACCGAAAGGUCGAGCAUGAAUCAUAUAGUAGAUAUGAUCAACAUAGUGAUGUUCACCAUUGAAAACUACUCCAUCUCACGUGAUGAUCGGACAUGGUUUAGUUGAUAUGGAUCACGUGAUCACUUAGAUGAUUAGAGAGAUGUCUAUCUAAGUGGGAGUUCUUAAGUAAUUUGAUUAAUUGAACUUUAAUUUAUCAUGAACUUAGUACCUCAUAGUAUUUUGCAUGUCUAUGUUGUUGUAGAUAGAUGGCCCGUGCUGUUGUUCCGUUGAAUUUUAAUGCGUUCCUAGAGAAAGCUAAGUUGAAAGAUGAUGGUAGAAACUACACGGACUGGGUCCGUAACUUGAGGAUUAUCCUCAUUGCCGCACAGAAGAAUUACGUCCUGGAAGCACCGCUAGGUGACAAACCCGCUGCAGGAGCAACGCUAGAUGUUGUGAACACCUGGCAGAGCAAAGCUGAUGACUACUCGAUAGUUUAGUGUGCCAUGCUUUACGGCUUAGAACCGGGACUUUAACGAUGUUUUGAACGUCAUGGAGCAUAUGAGAUGUUCCAGGAGUUGAAGUUAAUAUUUCAAGCAAAUUCCCAGAUUGAGAGAUAUGAAGUCUGAUACGUCUCCGUCGUAUCUAUAACUUUUGAUUGUUCCAUGCCAAUAUUCUACAACUUUCAUAUACUUUUGGCAACUUUUUAUACUAUUUUUGGGACUAACAUAUUGAUCCAGUGCACAGUGCCAGUUCCUGUUUGUUGCAUGUUUUUGUUUCGCAGAAAACCCAUAUCAAACGGAGUCCAAACGGGAUAAAAACUGAUGGAGAUUUUUUGUAAUAUAUGUGAUUUUUGGGAAGAAGAAUCAACGCGAGACGAUGCCCGAGGGGGCCACGAGGCAGGGGGCGCGCCCCAGGGGGUCAGGAGCGCCCUGGCCCUCGUGGCCACCCCGUAAGGUGGUUGGUGCCCUUCUUUCGCUGCAAGAAAGACAAUAUCCGGAUACAAAUCGUGUUAAAAUUUCAUCCCAAUAGGAGUUACGGAUCUCCGGAAAUUUAAGAAACGGUGAAAGGGCAGAAUCAGGGAGCGCAGAAACAGAGAGAGACAAAUCCAAUCUCGGAGGGGCUCUCGCCCCUCCCACGCCAUGGAUACCAUGGACCAGAGGGGAAACCCUUCUCCCAUCUAGGGAGAAGGUCAAGGAAGAAGAAGAAGGAGGGGGGCUCUCUCCCCCUCGCUUCCGGUGGCGCCGGAACGCCGCCGGGGCCAUCAUCAUCACCGCAAUCUACACCAACACCUCUGCCAUAUUCACCAACAUCUCCAUCACCUUCCCCCCUCUAUCUACAACGGUCCACUCUCCCGCAACCCGAUUUACCCUCUACUUGAACAUGGUUCUUUAUGCUUCAUAUUAUUAUCCAAUGAUGUGUUGCCAUCCUAUGAUGUCUAAGUAGAUUUUCGUUGUCCUAUCGGUAAUUGGUGAAUUGCUAUGAUUGGUUUAAUUUGCUUGUUGUUAUGUUGCUGUCCUUUGGUGCCCAUCAUAUGAGCGCGUGCAUGGAUCAGACCAUAGGGUUAGUUGUAUGUUGAUAGGACUAUGUAUUGGAGGGCAAGAGUGACAGAAGCUUCAACCUAGCAUAGAAAUUGAUGCAUACGGGAUUGAAGGGGGACCAAUAUAUCUUAAUGCUAUGGUUGGGUUUUACCUUAAUGAACGUUAGUAGUUGCGGAUGCUUUCUAAUAGUUCCAAUCAUAAGUGCAUAGAAUUCCAAGUCAGGGAUGACAUGCUAGCAGUGGCCUCUCCCACAUAAAACUUGCUAUCGGUCUAGUAAAGUAGUCAAUUGCUUAGGGACAAUUUCGCAACUCCUACUACCACUUUUCCACACUCGCUAUACUAACUUUGUUGCCUGUUUACCUAAACAUCCCCUACUUUUUAUUUACGUGCACUUUAUAUUCUUGCAAACCUAUCCAAAAACACCUACAAAGUACUUAUAGUUUCAUACUUGUUCUAGGUAAAGCGAACGUUAAGCGUGCGUAGAGUUGUAUCGGUGGUCGAUAGAACUUGAGGGAAUAUUUGUUCUACCAUUAGCUCCUUGUUGGGUUCGACACUCUUACUUAUCGAAAGAGGCUACAAAUGAUCCCCUAUACUUGUGGGUUAUCAAGGCCUUUUUCUUGCGCCGUUGCCGGGGACCAAUAGCGUGGGGUGAAUAUUCUCGUGUGUGCUUGUUUGCUUUAUCACUAAGUAAUUUUUAUUUGCUGUUCUAAGUUGUUCUAUAUCUUUAGUUAUGGAUAUGGAACACGGAAUACCAAAAAAAUUAGGUGUACCUGCUACUCAUGGAGAUGGGGAACCUCCUAAAACCCUCGAUGUUGGUUAUGUGAAAAAUAUUAUGUACUACUUUGAUAAUCAUGAGAAAACCCCAUUCAAUUAUGUAAUGGGAGACACGUUGGAUAAACGUGAAUACUUUAGGGAUUAUUUCUUGAAUCAAAAAGGGAAACUAUUAUGGGAUCAAAUUCAUAUGUUGCAUUGGUAUGCUCGGGAACUAUGCUUGAGAUAUGAUUAUACUUGUUACUCUAGGAUGAAGGCUCCACACCUUCCCUUUUCAUGCAAAUUUAAUGAUGAUAAAACCUUGGCAUCUUAUGCUAAUGGUAUAUAUGAUUACUAUGAUGUGGAACAAAUAGAAGAAUUUGUUGCUUUUAUGGGUGCUUAUGAAAUUGAAUCUUUGUUUAAAGAGUGUGAAAAUUUUGAUGAUUCAGUUUAUAGACCUGAAAAUUUAGCUAUCCUUAAAUAUUGCUAUGAGAAUUGUGAAUUCAAUUCCGACAUUGAUGAUUUUAUUGAGAGAGUCUCCGCUGUCCAAGAAGAGACUAAUAUUUUGCAGGAGUCUAUGGAAGAAGGAAUUGAUGAAACUGUGAGCUCAUUGGAUGAAAAAGAUGACGAGGAGAGCGAAGAACAAAAGGGGGAAGAGCGGAUUGAUAACCCGUGCCCACCUUCUAAUGAUAGUAAGUCUUCAACUCAUACAUUGUUUAAUUUCCCUUCAUGCUUACCGAAGGAUGAAUCCUAUGAUGAUUGUUAUGAUCCCGUUGAUUCUCUUGAAAUAUCCCUUUUUGAUGAUGCUUGCUAUGCGUGUGUCCAAGAUGCCAAUAUGAAUUAUGCUUAUGGAUAUGAACUUGCUAUAGUUCCUUAUGUUAAACAUGAAAUUGUUGCUAUUGCACCCACGCAUGAUAGUCCUACUAUCUUUUUGAAUUCUCCCAACUACACUAUAUCGGAGAAGUUUGCACUUAUUAAGGAUUAUAUUGAUGGGUUGCCUUUUACCGUUGCACAUGAUAAUUUUGAUGACUAUAAUAUGCAUGUGCUUGCUGCUCCUACUUGCAAUUAUUAUGAGAGAGGAACUACAUCUCCGCCUCUUUAUGUUUCCAACACGAUAGAAUUGCAAGAAACUGUUUAUACUAUGCAUUGGCCUUUACUAUGUGUGCAUGAAUUGUUCUUUUAUGACAUGCUGAUGCAUAGGAAGAUAGUUAGACUUCGUCAUUGCUUGAUAUAUGUUACUUUUUGCUCACUACUAAAUUACAAAUCAUUGUUGAUUCAAAUUGGCUUUGAUAUACCUUGGGAUCCGGGUGGAUCCAUUACUUGAGCACUAUAUGCCUAGCUUAAUGGCUUUAAAGAAAGCGCUGCCAGGGAGACAACACGGUAGUUUUAGAGAGUCAUUUAUUUCUGUUGUGUGCUUUUAUAAAGUUUAGAAUAAAAAUAAUGUGCCAAGGUUUUCCUUUAGGAUGUUUACAUUGAUUGUUGGUUUGUGCGGUGCAGGACAGAAACUUUGGCUGUAGUGCACGAUUUUACAUUUUUUACUGGAACGUUAAACGGUUUUGAAACCUUUUGCAUUGUCUUUAUAUACAUUUUUUUUAUUUUUACUAAUUUUGGUAGAAUGUUUGGAGUAACAGAAGUAUGGUGAAUGUUCAGAUUACUAGAGACUGUCCUGUUUAAGAUAGAUUCUGUUUUUGAUGCAUAGUUUGCGUGUUUUGAUGAAACUAUCGAUUUAUAUCAGUGGAUUAAGCCAUGGAAAAGUUAUAUUACAGUAGCUACAAUACAAAAACAAAAUACGAAUUGGUUUGCAACAGUACUUAGAGUAGUGAUUUGCUUUAUUAUACUAACGGAUCUUACCGAGUUUUCUGUUGAAGUUUUGUGUGGAUGAAGUGUUCGAAGAUCGAGGAUGUCUCGAUGUGAGGAUAAGGAGGAGAGACAAGAGCUCAAGCUUGGGGAUGCCCAAGGCACCCCAAGUAAAUAUUCAAGGAGACUCAAGCAUCUAAGCUUGGGGAUGCCCCGGAAGGCAUCCCAUCUUUCUUCAACAAGUAUCGGUAUGUUUUCGGAUGCGUUUCGUUCAUGCGAUAUGUGCAAUCUUGGAGCAUCUUUUGCAUUUAGUUUUCACUUUUAUUUUAUGCACCAUGCUGGUAUGAGAUAGUCCUUGGUUGAUUUAUAGAAUUCUCAUUGCACUUCACUUAUAUCUUUUGAGUAUGGCUUUAUAGAAUGCUUCAUCUGCUUCGCUUAUAUCAUUUGAAGUUUGGAUUGCCUGUUUCUCUCCACAUAGAAAACCGCCAUUUGUAGAAUGCUCUUUUGCUUAACUUAUAUUUGUUAGGGCGUGGGCAUAUCUUUUGUAGAAAGAAUUAAACUCUCUUGCUUCACUUAUAUCUAUUUAGAGAGUUGACAGGAAUUGGUCAUUCACAUGGUUAGUCAUAAAAUCCUACAUAAAACUUGUAGAUCACUGAAUAUGAUAUGUUUGAUUCCUUGCAAUAGUUUUGCGAUAUAAAGGUGGUGAUAUUAGAGUCGUGCUAGUUGAGUAAUUGUGAAAUUGAGAAAUACUUGUGUUGAGGUUUGCAAGUCCCGUAGCAUGCACGUAUGGUGAACCAUUAUGUAACGACGUUGGAGCAUGAGGUAUUUAUUGAUUGUCUUCCUUAUGAGUGGCAGUCGGGGACGAGCGAUGGUCUUUUCCUACAAAUCUACCCCCCUAGGGGCAUGCAUAGUAGUACUUUACUUUGAGGGCUAAUAAACUUUUGCAAUAAGUAUAUGAGUUCUUUAUGACUAAUGUGAGUCCAUGGAUUAUACGCACUCUCACCCUUCCAUCAUUGCUAGCCUCUUCGGUACCGUGCAUUGCCCUUUCUCACCUCGAGAGUUGGUGCAAACUUCGCCAGUGCAUUCAAACCCCGUGAUACGAUACACUCUAUCACACAUAAACGUCCUUAUAUCUUCCUCAAAACAGCCACCAUACCUACCUAUCAUGGCAUUUCCAUAGCCAUUCUGAGAUAUAUUACCAUGCAACUUUCAUCAUCAUCAUAUACAUGACUUGAGCAUUUAUUGUCAUAUUGCUUUGCAUGAUCGUAAGAUAGCUAGCAUGAUGUUUUCGUGGCUUGUCCGUUUUUUGAUGUUAUUGCUAUGCUAGAUCAUUGCACAUCCCGGUAAACCGCCUGAGGCAUUCAUAUAGAGUCAUAUCUUUGUUCUAGUAUCUAGUUGUAAUAUUGAGUUGUAAGUAAAUAGAAGUGUGAUGAUCAUCAUUAUUAGAGCAUUGCCCCAGUGAGGAAAGGAUGAUGGAGACUAUGAUUCCCCCACAAGUCGGGAUGCGACUCCGUACUUUAAAAAUAAAUGAAAGAGGCCAAAGAAGCCCAAAUAAAAAAGAGAGGCCAAAGAGGCCCACCAAAACAAAAAAAUAAAGAAGAAGAAGAAGAAGAAGAAGAAGAAGAAGAAGAAGAAGAAGAAGAAGAAGAAGAAACAACAAAAAAUGAGAGAAGAAGAGAGAAGGGGCAAUGUUACUAUCCUUUUACCACACUUGUGCUUCAGAGUAGCACCAUGUUCUUCAUAUAGAGAGUCUCUUGAGUUAUCACUUUCAUAUACUAGUGGGAAUUUUCAUUAUAGAACUUGGCUUGUAUAUUCCAAUGAUGGGCUUCCUCAAAUGCCCUAGGUAUUCAUGAGCAAGCAAGUUGGAUGCACACCCACUUAGUUUCAGUCUGAGCUUUCAUACACUUAUAGCUCUAGUGCAUCUGUUGCAUGGCAAUCCCUACUCCUCACAUUGACAUCAAUUGAUGGGCAUCUCCAUAGCCCGUUGAUUAGCCGCGUCGAUAUGAGACUUUCUCCCUUUUUACCUUCUUCACACAAACCUCCAUCAUCAUAUUCUAUUCCACCCAUAGUGUUAUGUCCAUGGUUUGUGCUCAUGUAUUGCGUGAGAGUUGAAAAGGCUGAAGCGCAUUAAAAAGUAUGAACCAAUUGCUCGGCUUGUCAUCGGGGUUGUGCAUGAUUUGAAUGCUUUGUGUGGUGAAGAUGGAGCAUAGCCAGACUAUAUGAUUUUGUAGGGAUGAGCUUUCUUUGGCUAUGAUAUUUUGAUAAGACAUAAUUACUUGGUUAGUAUGCUUGAAGUAUUAUUGUCUUAAUGUCAAGUGAUAGACUAUUGCUUUGAAUCACUCGUGUCUUAAUAUUCAUGCCAUGAUUAGAUAAAUGAUCAAUAUUAUGCUAGGUAGCAUUCCACAUCAAAAAUUAUAUUUUUGUAUCAUUUACCUGCUCGAGGACGAGCAAGAAUUAAGCUUGGGGAUGCUGAUACGUCUCCGUCGUAUCUAUAAUUUUUGAUUGUUCCAUGCCAAUAUUCUACAACUUUCAUAUACUUUUCGCAACUUUUUAUACUAUUUUUGGGACUAACAUAUUGAUCCAGUGCCCAGUGCCAGUUCCUGUUUGUUGCAUGUUUUUGUUUCACAGAAAAUCCAUAUCAAGCGGAGUCCAAACGGGAUAAAAACCGACGGAGAUUUUUUUUGGAAUAUAUGUGAUUUUUAGGAAGAAGAAUCAACGCGAGACAAUGCCCGAGGGGGCCACGAGGCAGGGGGCGCGCCCGAGGGGGUCAGGAGCGCCCCUGGCCCUCGUGGCCACCCAUAAGGCGGUUGGUGCCCUUCUUUCGCCGCAAGAAAGACAAUAUCCGGAUACAAAACGUGUUAAAAUUUCAGCCCAAUCGGAGUUACGGAUCUCCGAGAAUUUAAGAAAUGGUGAAAGGGCAGAAUUAGGGAGCGCAGAAACAGAGAGAGACAGAGAGACAAAUCCAAUCUCGGAGGGACUCUCGCCCCUCCCACGCCAUGGAGACCAUGGACCAGAGGGGAAACCCUUCUCCCAUCUAGGGAGAAGGUCAAGGAAGAAGGAGAAGGAGGGGGGCUCUCUCCCCCUCGCUUCUGGUGGCGCCGGAACACCGUCGGGGCCAUCAUCAUCACCACAAUCUACACCAACACCUCUGCCAUCUUCACCAACAUCUCCAUCACCUUCCCCCCUCUAUCUACAGUGGUCCACUCUCUCGCAACCCGUUGUGCCCUCUACUUGAACAUGGUGCUUUGUGCUUCAUAUUAUUAUCCAAUGAGGUGUUGACAUCCUAUGACGUCUGAGUAGAUUUUCGUUGUCCUAUCGGUAAUUGGUGAAUUUCUAUGAUUGGUUUAAUUUGCUUGUGGUUAUAUUGCUGUCCUUUGGUGCCCAUCAUAUGAGCGCGCACGUGGAUCACACCAUAGGGUUAGUUGUAUGUUGAUAGGACUAUGUAUUGGAGGGCAAGAGUGACAGAAGCUUCAACGUAGCAUAGAAAUUGAUGCAUACGGGAUUGAAGGGGGACCAAUAUAUCUUAAUGCUAUGGUUGGGUUUUACCUUAAUGAACGUUAGUAGUUGUGGAUGCUUGCUAAUAGUUCCAAUCAUAAGUGCAUAGAAUUCCAAGUCAGGGAUGACAUGCUAGCAGUGGCCUCUCCCACAUAAAACUUGCUAUCGGUCUAAUAAAGUAGUCAAUUGCUUAGGGACAAUUUCGCAACUCCUACCACCACUUUUCCACACUCGCUAUACUAACUUUAUUGCUUCUUUACCUAAACAGCCCCUACUUUUUAUUUACGUGCACUUUAUAUUCUUGCAAACCUAUCCAAAAACACCUACAAAGUACUUAUAGUUUCAUACUUGUUCUAGGUAAAGCGAACGUUAAGCGUGCAUAGAGUUGUAUCGGUGGUCGAUAGAACUUGAGGAAAUAUCUGUUCUACAUUUAGCUCCUCGUUGGGUUCGACACUCUUACGUAUCGAAAGAGGCUACAAUUGAUCCCAUAUACUUGUGGGUUAUCAAAGUCUCCAAUGAAUUCUACAGCUGCAAGAUGGAGGAGAAUAGUUUUGUUAGUGAACAUAGACUUAGAAUGUUUGGGUACCACAACCACUUGACUCAAAUGGGAGUUAAUCUUCCUGAUGAUAGUGUCAUUGACAGAGUUAUUCAAUCACUGCCACCAAGCUACAAGAGCUUCGUGAUGAACUGUAAUAUGCAAGGGAUGGAUAAGACGAUUCCUGAGUUCUUCGCAAUGCUAAAGGCUGCGAAGGUAGAAAUCAAGAAGGAGAAUGAAGUGUUGAUGGUCAACAAGACCACCAGUUUCAAGCAAAAGGGUAAAGGGAAGAAUGGGAACUUCAAGAAGAACAGCAAGCCAGUUGCUGCUCAAGUGAAGAAACCCAAGUCUAGACCUAAGCCUGAGACUGAGUGCUUCUACUGCAAAGGAACUGAUCACUGGAAGCGGAACCGCCCCAAGUAUUUGGCGGAGAAGAAGGAUGGCAAAGUGAAAGGUAUAUUUGAUAUACAUGUUAUUGAUGUGUACCUUACUAAUGCUCACAGUAGUGCCUGGGUAUUUGAUACUGGUUCAGUUCCUAACAUUUGCAACUCAAAACAGGGGCUACAGAUUAAGCGAAUAUUGGCUAAGGAGAGGUGACGAUGCAUGUGGGAAAUGGUUCCAAAGUCGAUGUGAUCACCGUCGGCACGCUACCUCUACAUCUACCUUCGGGAUUAGUUUUACACCUAAAUAAUUGUUAUUUGGUGCCAGCAUUGAGCAUGAACAUUAUAUCUAGAUCUUGUUUGAUGCGAGACGGUUAUUCAUUUAAAUCAGAGAAUAAUGGUUGUUCUAUUUAUAUGAGUAAUAUCUUUUAUGGUCAUGCACCCUUGAUGAGUGGUCUAUUUUUACUAAAUCUUGAUAGUAGUGAUACACAUGUUCAUAGUAUUGAAGCCAAAAGAUGCAGAGUUGAUAAUGAUAGUGCAACUUAUUUGUGGCACUACCGUUUAGGUCAUAUUGGUGUAAAGCGCAUGAAGAAACUCCAUACUGGUGGACUUCUGGUCUCACUUGAUUAUGAAUCACUUGGUACUUGCGAACCAUGCCUCAUGGGCAAGAUGACUAAAACUCUGUUCUCUGGAACAAUGGAGCGAGCAACAGAGUUAUUGGAAAUCAUACAUACUGAUGUAUGUGGUCCAAUGAACAUUGAAUCUCACGGCAGAUAUCGUUAUUUUCUCACCUUCACAGAUGAUUUGAGCAGAUAUGAGUAUAUCUACUUAAUGAAACAUAAGUCUGAAACAUUUGAAAAGUUCAAAGAAUUUCAGAGUGAAGUGGAAAAUCAUCAUAACAAUAAAAUCAAGUUUCUACAAUCUGAUCGUGGAGGUGAAUAUUUGAGUUAUGAGUUUGGACUUCAUUUGAAACAAUGCGGAAUAGUUUCGCAACUCACGCCACCUGGAACACCACAACGUAAUGGUGUGUUCGACACUGAUUUACCGCUAUCGUUUUGGGGUUAUGCUUUAGAGACGGCUGCAUUCAUGUUAAAUAGGGCACCAUCUAAAUCCAUUGAGACAACACCUUAUGAACCGUGGUUUGGCAAGAAACCCAAGUUGUCCUUUUUUCUUAAAGUUUGGGGCUGCGAUGCUUAUGUGAAAAAGCUUCAACCUGAUAAGCUCGAACCCAAAUCGGAGAAAUGUGUCUUCGUAAGAUACCCAAAGGAGACUGUUGGGUACACCUUCUAUCACAGAUCCGAGGGCAAGAUAUUUGUUGCUAAGAAUGGAUCCUUUCUAGAGAAGGAGUUUCUCUCGAAACAAGUGAGUGGGAGGAAAGUAGAACUUGACGAGGUAAUUGUACCUUCUCCCUUAUUGGAAAGUAGUUCAUCACUGAAAUCAGUUCUAGUGAUUCCUACACAAGUAAGUGAGGAAGCUAAUAAUGAUGAUCAUGAAACUUCUGAUCAAGUUACCACCGAACCUCGUAGGUCAACCAGAGUAAGAUCCGCACCAGAGUGGUAUGGUAAUCCUGUUCUAGAGGUCAUGUUACUUGACCUUGACGAACCUACGAACUAUGAGGAAGCGAUGAUGAGCCCAAAUUGCGUAAAAUGGCUUGAGGCCAUGAAAUAUGAGAUGGGAUCCAUGCAUGAGAACAAAGUAUGGACUUUGGUCGACUUGCCGAUGAUCGGCAGGCCAUAGAGAAUAAGUGGAUCUUCAAGAAGAAGACUGACGCUGACGGUAAUAUUACUGUCUACAAAGCUCGACUUGUUGCAAAAGGUUUUCGACAAGUUCAAGGAGUUGACUACGAUGAGACCUUCUCACCCGUAGUGAUGCUUAAGUCCGUCUGAAUCAUGUUAGCAAUUGCCGCAUUUUAUGAUUACGAAAUUUGGCAAAUGGAUGUCAAAACUGCAAUCCUUAAUGGAUAUCUUAAAGAAGAGUUGUAUAUGAUGCAACCAGAAGGUUUUGUCGAUCCAAAAGGUGCUAACAAAGCGUGCAAGCUCCAGCGAUCCAUUUAUGGACUGGUGCAAGCCUCUCAGAGAUGGAAUAUACGCUUUGAUAGUGUGAUCAAAGCAUAUGGUUUUAUAUAGACUUUUGGAGAAGCAUGUAUUUACAAGAAAGUGAGUGGGAUAUUGAUGUGUACUACACAACCUUCUUCUUGUAGACGUUGUUGGGCCUCCAAGUGCAGAGGUUUGUAGGACAGUAGCAAAUUUCCCUCAAGUGGAUGACCUAAGGUUUAUCAAUCCGUAGGAGGCGUAGGAUUAAGAUGGUCUCUCUCAAGCAACCCUGCAACCAAAUAACAAAGAGUCUCUUGUGUCCCCAACACACCCAAUACAAUGGUAAAUUGUAUAGGUGCACUAGUUCAGCGAAGAGAUGGUGAUACAAGUGGUAUGGAUGAUAGAUAUAGGUUUUUGUAAUCUGAAAAUAUAAAAACAGCAAGGUAACUAAUGAUAAAAGUGAGCGUAAAUGGUAUUGCAAUGCAUUGAAACAAGGCCCAGGGUUCAUACUUUCACUAGUGCAAGUUCCCUCAACAAUAAUAACAUAAUUGGAUCACAUAACUAUCCCUCAACAUGCAACAAAGAGUCACUCCAAAGUCACUAAUAGCAGAGAACAAACGAAGAGAUUAUGGUAGGGUACAAAACCACCUCAAAGUUAUUCUUUCCAAUCAAUCCGUUGGGCUAUUCCUAUAAGUGUCACAAACAGCCCUAGAGUUCGUACUAGAAUAACACCUUAAGACACAAAUCAACCAAAACCCUAAUGUCACAUAGAUACUCCAAUGUCACCUCAAGUAUCCGUGGGUAUGAUUAUACCAUAUGCAUCACACAAUCUCAGAUUCAUCUAUUCAACCAAGACAUAGAACCUCAAAGAGUGCCCCAAAGUUCCUACCGGAGAAUCACGGCGAAAAUGUGUCCCAACCCCUAUGCAUAGAUUCAUGGGCGGAACCCGCAAGUUGAUCUCCAAAACAUACAUCAAGUGAAUCACGUGAUAUCCCAUUGUCACCACGGAUACGCACGACAAGACAUACAUCAAGUGUUCUCAAAUCUUUAAAGACUCAAUCCGAUAAGAUAACUUCAAAGGGGAAACUCAAUCCAUUACAAGAGAGUAGAGGGGGAGAAAACAUCAUAGGAUCCAAAUAUAAUAGCAAAGCUCACGAUACAUCAAGAUCGUGUCACCUCAAGAACACAAGAGAGAGAGAGAGAGAGAGAGAGAGAGAGAGAGAGAGAGAUCAAACACAUAGCUACUGGUACAUACCCUCAGCCCCGAGGGAGAACUACUCCCUCCUCCUCAUGGAGAGCACCAGGAUGAUGAAGAUGGCCACCAGAGAAGGAUUCCCCCUCCGGCAGGGUGCCGGAACAGAUCUAGAUUGGCUUUCGGUGGCUACGGAGGCUUCUGGUGGCGGAACUCCCGAUCUAUUGUGCUCCCCGAUAGUUUUAGGGUAUAUGGAUAUAUAUAUAGGUGAAAGAAAUACAUCAGGGGAGCCAUGAGGGGCCCACGAGGGUGGAGGGCGCCCAGAGGGGGUGGGCGCCCCCUGCCUCGUGGCUUCCUCGUUGAUCCCCUAACGUGCACUCCAAGUCUCCUGUAUUGCUUUCUUUCCAAAAAUAAGUUCCGUGAAGUUUCAGGUCAAUUGGACUCCGUUUGACUUUCCUUUUCUGCGAUACUCUAAAACAAGGAAAAACAGAAAAUGGCACUGGGCUCUAGGUUAAGGUUAGUGCCAAAAAUCAUAUAAAAUAGCAUAUAAAUGCAUAUAAAACAUCCAAGGUUGAUAAUAUAAUAGCAUGGAACAAUCAAAAAUUAUAGAUACGUUGGAGACGUAUCAGCAUCCCCAAGCUUAAUUCCUGCUCGUCCUCGAGUAGGUAAAUGAUAAAAACAGAAUUUUUGAUGUGAAAUGCUACCUAACAUAUUUCUCUAAGUAAUUCUCUUCAUUUUGGCAAGAAUAUUCCGAUCCAUAAGAUUCAAGACAAAAGUUUAAUAUUGACAUAAAAAUAAUAAUACUUCAAGCAUACUAACUAAGCAAUUAUGUCUCUUCAAAAUAACAUGGCCAAAGAAAGUUAUCCCUACAAAAUCAUAUAGUCUGGCAAUGCUCCAUCUUCACCACACAACGUAUUCAAAUCAUGCACAACCCCGAUGACAAGCCAAACAAUUGUUUCAUACUUUUGUUCUCAAACCUUUUCAAUCUUCACGCAAUAUAUGAGCGUGAGCCAUGGAUAUAGCACUAUAGGUGGAAUAGAAGGGUGGUUAUGGAGAAGACAAAAAGGGAGAAGAUAGUCUCACAUCAACUAGGCGUAUCAACGGGCUAUGGAGAUGCCCAUUAAUAGAUAUCAAUGUGAGUGAGUAGGGAUUGCCAUGCAACGGAUGCACUAGAGCUAUAAAUGUAUGAAAGCUCAACAAGAGACUAAGUGGGUGUGCAUCCAACUUGCUUGCUCACGAAGACCUAGGGCAUUUUUAGGAAGCCCAUCAUUGGAAUAUACAAGCCAAGUUUUAUAAUGUAAAAUUCCCACUAGUAUAUGAAAGUGACAACAUAGGAGACUCUCUAUUAUGAAGAUCAUGGUGCUACUUUGAAGCACAAGUGUGGUAAAAGGAUAGUAGCAUUGCCCCUUCUCUCUUUUUCUCUCAUUUUUUUAUUUGGUCCUUCUCUUUUUUUAUGACCUCCUUUUUUUGGGGCUUCUUUGGCCUCUCUUUUUUUCGUCCGAAGUCUCAUCCCGACUUGUGGGGGAAUCAUAGUCUCCAUCAUCCUUUCCUCACCUGGACAAUGCUCUAAUAAUGAUCAUCACACUUUUAUUUUCUUACAGCUCAAGAAUUACAACUCGAUACUUAGGACAAGAUAUGACUCUAUAUGAAUGCCUCCGGCGGUGUACCAGGAUGUGCAAUGACUCAUGAGUGACAUGUAUGAAAUAAUUAUGAAUGGUGGCUUUGCCACAAAUACGAUGUCAACUACAUGAUCAUGCAAAGCAAUAUGACAAUGAUGAAGCGUGUCAUAAUAACGGAACGGUGGAAAGUUGCAUGGUAAUAUAUCUCGGAAUGGCUAUGGAAAUGCCAUAAUAGGUAGGUAUGGUGGCUGUUUUGAGGAAUUUAUAUGGUGGGUUUAUGGUACUGGCGAAAGUUGUGCGGUACUAGAGAGGCUAGCAAUGGUGGAAGGGUGAGAGUGCGUAUAAUCCAUGGACUCAACAUUAGUCAUAAAGAACUCACAUACUUAUUGCAAAAAUCUAUUAGUUAUCGAAACAAAGUACUAUGUGCAUGCUCCUAGGGGGAUAGAUUGGUAGGAAAAGACCAUCGCUCGUCCCCGACCGCCACUCGUAAGGAAGACAAUCAAUAAAUAAAUCAUGCUCCGACUUCAUCACGUAACGGUUCACCAUACGUGCAUGCUACGGGAAUCACAAACUUCAACACAAGUAUUUCUCAAAUUCACAACUACUCAGCUAUCAUGACUCUAAUAUCACCAUCUCCAUAUCUCAAAACAAUUAUCAAGUAUCAAACUUCUCAUAGUAUUCAAUGCACUUUAUAUGAUAGUUUUUAUUAUACCCAUCUUGGAUGCCCAUCAUAUUAGGACUAAAUUCAUAACCAAAGCAAACUACCGUGCUGUUUAGAGACUCUCAAAAUGAUAUAAGUGAAGCAUGCGAGUUCAUCUAUUUCUAUAAAAUAAAACCACCAUCGUGCUUUAAAAGGAUAUAAGUGAAGCACUAGAGCAAAUGACAAACUACUCCAAAAGAUAUAAGUGAAGAUCAAUGAGUAGUCGAGUAAUUAUGCAACUAUGUGAAGACUCUCUAACAUUUAAGAAUUUCAGAUCUUGGUAUUUUAUUCAAACAGCAAGCAAAACAAAAGAAAAUAAAAUGACGCUCCAAGCAAAACACAUCAUGUGGCGAAUAAAAAUAUAGCUGCAAGUAAAGUUACCGAUGAACGAAGACGAAAGAGGGGAUGCCUUCCGGGGCAUCCCAAUCUUAGGCUCUUGGUUUUCCUUGAAUAUUUCCUUAGGGUUCCAUGGGCAUCCCCAAGCUUAGGCUCUUUCCACUCCUUAUUCCGUAAUCCAUCGAAUCUUUACCCAAAACUUGAAAACUUCACAACACAAAACUUAACAGAAAACUUGUAAGCUCCGUUAGCGAAAGAAAACAAAACACCGCUUCAAGGUACCGUAAUGAACUCAUUCUUUAUUUAUAUUGGUGUUAAACCUACUAUAUUCCAACUUCUCUAUGGUUUAUAAAUGUAGCGACCCGACCUCAAACGAUCAAGUCUCUGUGCUUCAGUGCCAUCCCUGGAUCGGUAAUGCUGACACACACAGUACUCGAGGAUUUAUAACAGAGUAGAAAUCACACACUUAUUACAUCGAAUGUGUCCAAAGAGAGCUUAUUAUAGUAAAUUUGUCUUAAGGCCAUCUAAUACGAUAACAGCGGAAGGCUUGGAAGAUAAAGUGUGUCCAUCAACUCCAACGGCAUAGCUGAGCUGCACGGCAAUGACCUAACGAACCUUACUCCUCGUCUGAAAAGUCUGCAACAUAAUACGUUGCAGCCCGAAACGGGUCAGCACAUGGAAUAUGCUGGCAAAAUAACACAGUAGAGCAAGAACAGAAUAAUGCUAUCACUACAUGCAUAUUUGGCUGGUGGAAAGCUCUAUGGUUAUAGUUUUUGCGAAAAGCCAAUUUUUCCCUACAACAAAGGAAUAGAUUUUUAAUUUAACUAUCAUGGUAGUUGAAACAUCAUUGAGAAGGUUCCUCCAACUCAAUCCCAAUUAAAGUAAUUAUCAACCCAAUAAUAUUAAUUUAGAGUGAUGAGAUACUUAAGAUACUCCAAGUACUAGAUACUCAAGAUUGUCCAUAACUGGGGACACGGCUAACCACGAUUAGUUUAUACACUCUGCAGAGGUUUGCGCACUUUUCCCCACAAGACUCGAUCUCCUCCGUUGAUUUUCUCGCACUACAAGGUGUUUGAGAAACGAUGACCGAGACACAGUCUUUCAGAAACAUUAACUCUCUACUCUGGGCAGACCAUACCAAACCUACAAUCCCACUACCUGCUGAUCCACCUCUUCAAGAGCUUCACAUAACUUACUCAACUAUGCUAGAGCCCAUAAUAGCUUGUGGCUGCACACGUAAGUUUCUAGCAUGAAUAAUCUCAGUUCCCUUUGAGCCUGGGUGGUGGUCCAUAGGAAGAUCACACGGGUGCUCCGGGAUUUCCAAAAAAUACAGGCAACACCUGAUACUCCAGGUGCCUCAGUCCACCCAGAUGUGUAUUUAAGUUUCCACCUUAAGUUGAACCAUUAAUUAUCAAUCUCACAUCUGUCAUGGAUUUCACUCACCCAAACUACGUCUACGAGCAUAGCAUAGCAAUAGAAGCAACACGUAGAAGUAACUCCCAGGGUUUGAAUGUAACAUGGUAAUAGGUUCUACCUCAUCAACUACUUGCCAACCCACAUGUUAAUGACAUCCUAACCAUGCAACGUUUGAGGAUUGGAACUAAUGCAUAAAAACUGGGUGAUAAAGGGGUAUGAUCAAAGUGUUACUUGCCUUGCUGACGAUCCGCGUAACCAAGAGACUCCAAAUAACACGCUUCGCACUCCGGGAAUUCUAUCACAAACAAACAAUAGCAUACAUAAGCAAUCAAGCAAAGAAACACGGGUAAAUCUCAAAUAAAAGGUCUAACCAGAAAGUUCAACUUAAGAACUCCGGUUUGCAAAAAGAAUCAAAUCGAACGGAGCAACAAAACUCAAACAACGAAAGAAACAAGAUCCGUUACUAAUCCGGACCUAGGUCAAAUUUUACAGUAGAAAAAGCUUGUUCAAGUUGGUUAAGCGAAAAGAGGGUCUCGAGAAGAAGAUCUAGGCAUUUGAAUCGCCUGAUUCUGACUAACGAGCGAAAAGAUAAACUAGAACGAAAAUCGGAUCAGAAAUCGCGAUCAGAAAUAAUCGCGGAAUAAUCCAAUAAAAAGAAAACUGACGAACAGGCUAACGAACGAGCAUUCGUUAUCUGUAGCUAACGAGCGAAAACUGUUCGUUGAAAACGAACGUCUGCUAAACAAAAAAACCAAAAAAAC